Sinocyclocheilus rhinocerous is the source of this 105-nucleotide long non-coding RNA. RefSeq lists it as uncharacterized. The transcript is spliced from 3 exons. Lineage: Eukaryota; Metazoa; Chordata; Actinopteri; Cypriniformes; Cyprinidae. The record is from RefSeq and is a predicted model, not a curated record.
CCCUCUGCAGGAAACCAUCUUCAUCCACUGUAGUACUGCGGUGUGCCAUCCAUCUUCUGGCUCCUGUGAGCAAAGCUGCGGCAGGAAGAGAAGGGACACUCGUGU